This is a non-coding RNA of Podarcis lilfordi (Lilford's wall lizard), 74 nucleotides long. The record is from the annotation of a GenBank genome assembly. Lineage: Eukaryota; Metazoa; Chordata; Lepidosauria; Squamata; Lacertidae.
GAAUAGCUCAGUCGGAAGAGCAUGAGACUCUUCAUCUCAGGUCAGGGUUGUGGAUUCGAGCCCCACAUUGAGCA